GUAGAGAAGCUUGCUUCUCUUGAGAGCGGCGGACGGGUGAGUAAAGCCUAGGAAUCUGCCUGGUAGUGGGGGAUAACGUUCGGAAACGGACGCUAAUACCGCAUACGUCCUACGGGAGAAAGCAGGGGACCUUCGGGCCUUGCGCUAUCAGAUGAGCCUAGGUCGGAUUAGCUAGUUGGUGAGGUAAUGGCUCACCAAGGCGGCGAUCCGUAACUGGUCUGAGAGGAUGAUCAGUCACACUGGAACUGAGACACGGUCCAGACUCCUACG
Molecule: ribosomal RNA, 270 nt
Filed under: uncultured Pseudomonas sp.
Lineage: Bacteria; Pseudomonadati; Pseudomonadota; Gammaproteobacteria; Pseudomonadales; Pseudomonadaceae
Description: partial 16S ribosomal RNA
Rfam family: Bacterial small subunit ribosomal RNA
Source: RNAcentral